CAGUUUACAGGUGAUUGAUAUGCU
Molecule: non-coding RNA, 24 nt
Filed under: Arabidopsis thaliana (thale cress)
Lineage: Eukaryota; Viridiplantae; Streptophyta; Magnoliopsida; Brassicales; Brassicaceae
Source: RNAcentral